This 74-nucleotide transfer RNA is filed under the name Candidatus Liptonbacteria bacterium CG11_big_fil_rev_8_21_14_0_20_35_14. Its description in RNAcentral is "tRNA-Trp". It matches the Rfam family "tRNA". Rfam says of the family: Transfer RNA (tRNA) molecules are approximately 80 nucleotides in length. Their secondary structure includes four short double-helical elements and three loops (D, anti-codon, and T loops). The record is from RNAcentral. Lineage: Bacteria; Candidatus Liptoniibacteriota.
GGGUCCGUCGGUUAACGGUAAACCAUCGCUCUCCAAAAGCGAGACUGUAGGUUCGAUUCCUGCCGGGCCCGCCA